GAGAUGAUUAGCAUACCCGUGAAAUGAAAAAAGGAGAGAUAUAUCAUGUCCUUCUACAGGUUUUAAAAACACAGUCCAUAACCCAUCACCUUUCCUAUCUUUAUCCAUUUCAAUCUCUUAGCUUCUUCCAUUUUUCAGUUUUCAAUCCUCAAUCUUCAUUCAGUAGUAGGUAAAUAAUCAGAGAAUCCUUUGGAGGUUCAAGCACUCAACAUUUCUUUUAUAUACCGAGUCUUGUUACCUUCUUGUGUUUGAUUAUAUGGUAUUGACUUAAGCCUGCAGGACCCAAAGGAUGGAGAGUGGACAAAUGGUCAACAAGGGCAUGAAGGUAGAGAAUCCAUCAGAGACUGAAAGCAUGUCAAGUGGUGGCACAAAGUUUACUUCAGGGUUUCAAAGACAGACAGGCGCUUCAAAGAGUAAUUGCUUAUGCUCUCCAACCUCCCAUGCUGGUUCUUUCCGGUGCAGGUUACACCGUUCCCCGAGCCUUCAACGAACCAAAAGCAUUGACUCUGCAUCUCUGAGAGACUCAGAAACUAAUAUCAACACGACAGCUGAUGAUACUAGUAAUGCACAGCUGAUGAUACUAGUAAUGCACACAAUUGAGUCCCAGUAAUUCACAUGAACGUAUUGAAUGUACUGUAAGUGUGCUAGCUGUUGCUACCUGCGGUUGUUUGCUAGCAUGUAUAUUGUCUUGGAGGUGUACAUCUGCUAUUUUCUUUGUUUUUGUUUCCUCUUGUAUAAGUAAAAUGUUACCUAUUUCUAUCUCUUUCGCUUCUCUCCUUCAGAUCAGGAACAGAAAAAGGUUUUGCCAGUAGUUGAUUAAUGUCUUUUUACUAGAGGUGAGCCUAGAAGCUGAUUUGGUAAAUGAACUUAUUAGGAUUGCAAGGAACGAGACUUACUACCAACAGAAGUUUUUAUUACUGUCGGUCUCCAGGCUAUACAUCAACGUUUUCUAGAGAUUCUAAUCAGAUUGAAGAACCACUGUUGUUAACCAACAUUAGCAGUGUGGCCAACACGA
RNAcentral lists this long non-coding RNA (1015 nucleotides) under Populus trichocarpa (black cottonwood). RNAcentral's name for it is "long non-coding RNA (PTRI_LNC002456)". Lineage: Eukaryota; Viridiplantae; Streptophyta; Magnoliopsida; Malpighiales; Salicaceae. The record is from RNAcentral.